RNAcentral lists this long non-coding RNA (6075 nucleotides) under Gossypium barbadense (sea-island cotton). Its description in RNAcentral is "long non-coding RNA (GBAR_LNC022455)". Lineage: Eukaryota; Viridiplantae; Streptophyta; Magnoliopsida; Malvales; Malvaceae. The record is from RNAcentral.
GGUCUUCAUCAAAUUUAAAUCACAUACGUGUAAUUUUAAAAUAAUUUUAUUUUAUCUUUCUUAACAAGCUUUACUGAAAAUUUCUCAAUUUUUUCCCUCUUUCAAGCUUCAAGUUUUUUUCUCAGCAAAUCUUAUCCCAAAACAAAAACUCUUUUAAUUGAAGUUGAGGUUUGUAAAUUUUUUUUUGUAAUAUUUUUAUUUUUCAUUUUAUUUUUCUAUUUAAUUUCUAAUUACAUAUAUUUUUAACAUAAUAAACUCAUUACAAGUUUUAUGAGAUUUCACGCAUUUAAAACAAAGAUAAAGUUCCACUUAAAAAGAAAAGAAAAAACGAGUACAAAUAAGUCUGCCGUUCUUGGCACGGGUCUUUAGUCUGCCGGCUGGCACGAAAAUCUUCCUUGUUUAGGGUUUUUGUUUCCUGUCGUUUUGCGCCAGAUUGUGGGAUCAAGAUGGAAGAUGCGAUGGCAAGUCUGAGAUUGCUGGACGAUGAGGAAGAAGCGAUUCAUGAAGUCGCAGGAGAGUUUUGUUUAUCAGUUUUGUAUGGUGGGGCAAUGCCUUACAGAUAGUGUGGUCCAUUUUCCGUCAUUGUGCAACACCAUGGCGGAUCUUUGGCAUCCAACCGGAGGGAUUUGCAUCACGGAGGUGGGGGAGAAAAGGUAUCUGUUUGAAUUUUUUAAUGAGAUUGAUUUUGAUAGGGUAAAAGCAGGAACACCGUGGUUUUUCAAUAACCACUUACUUAUUCUUCAAACAAUUCUGGAAGGGGUAAAUCCGGCAGUGGUGGAGUUAAAGUUUACGGAGUUUUGGAUACAAGUCCAUGAUUUACCGCCUGGAUCGAUGAAUGAGUCGAUGGCAAAACAGUUUGGGAGUUUCUCUGGAAAAUUCCUUGAGUACGAAACGUCUGUUCCUACAUUGGGGACUCAGAUUUUCUUACGAACUAGAGUUUGCUUGGACGUUAAUGCACCAUUAAAACGAAAAAAAAGGUCCUGUUUGGAAAGUCUCUGGUUGUGUAUGCUAGAUUUAAAUAUAAGAAGCUCAGUUUGUUUUGUUUUAUUUGUGGAAGAUUAAGACAUGGGGAGAGUUUUUGCCCUCUUCGAUUACAAAUUGAACCUUCCAAAAUUAUAUUUGGAUGAGACCUAUCCUUGCAUGCGGUGACAAGGCACCGGAAUAUAACGGAGAGUAAAUGGUUAAGGACAGAUAAUGGGUCAAUGUACAUAUCAGAUAAGGCGGGAAACUCCAUUCCGAAUAGUCUGUUAACUGAGGAGAAAAGGUCAAGGCAGAUUUCUAAGGGAGCGACUGGGAAUCAAAAUAUAAAUCCUAAUUUCAUUUAGUUGGGUACCGAAAAUUAUGAUGGGAGUCGUAGAGAUCGGUCGGGGUAUGAUGGUGGGGAUGUCCAGAUGGGGGCUGAUGGAGCUGUGUAUGGAUCUCUGGAAUUGGUCUCAAGUGAAGAAGAUGAUCCUAUUGCCUUAUUGGAAGGUAAGAAAAGGCAGCGAAUGGGGGAGAGUUCGAGGAUGCCAUUGGAGACUAUUGGUGGUUCAGGAUUUAUGGAUGUUUCGGCUAGCUCUGGUGAUCAGAGCAGCCGAACUCAAUGAAAAUUCUAAGCUGGAAUGUUCGUAGGUUGGGGAGACCACGAACAAUGCAUAGGCUCAAGAAUAAGUUAAGAGCCAUAAAUCCCCGAAUUAUGUUUCUUAUGGAAACAAAAUUGAAUUCAAGAAGUAUGGAAAAGGUACGGUUGAAGUGUGGUUUUGUCAAUGGUAUUGAUGUUGGGGCUCUUGGCACGAAAGGGGGUCUAUCGUUGGGCUGAAAAGGUAAUGCACUGGUGCAGCUUAGAAGUUUUUCAUUAUUUCAUAUAGAUGUGGAAAUUAACGAUGUUGAAGGUGGUGAUACAUGGAGGUUUACAGGGUUUUAUGGACAUCCGGAUGGAAGAAAUAGAAGCGCAUCAUGGAAUCUCCUUCGCCAGCUAAGUCAUGACCAAUCUAUUCCUUGGGUGGUAGUGGGAGAUUUUAAUAAAAUCACGAAUUCUUUUGAAAAAAAAGGUGGGCGUCUUCAUUCAGAUCGGCAAAUGAAGGAGUUUCGUGAGGCAUUGGAGGAUUGCAAUCUCUUGGAGGAUUGCAAUCUCUUGGAUUUGGGAUUUACAGGUAGAUGAUUCACAUGGGAACGUGGGCGCUUUACCUCGACAAACAUAAGGGAACGACUGGAUCGGGGAGUGGCAAUUUCGUGUUGGUUGAAUCGAUUCCCUGGGUAUAGGAUUGAACAUUUGAGCCAUUCUUUUCUGACCAUUGUCCCAUUCUCCUCGAUUCUGUGGGUGUUAAAAGGAAUAAGGAGGGCAGCUAUGGGAAUGAGUUUCGGUUUGAAGCCAAGUGGUGUUUGGAUAAAUCCUUUGAAGAGAUGAUUAAAAAAUGGUAGGGUGAAAACUCUGGCAAUGUUCUGGGUAAACUAGAAAAACUGGGCGGUCAAUUACUUCGUUGGGGGCGGUUGAAUAGUAGGGAGGAUAAGAAGAAAAGGCUGGCUUUAGAAGAUAGAUUGUCUAUGUUGUAUAAGCAGGAUAUUUCAGAUGAGGUCUUGGCGGAGAUCACGGAGGUUCAAAUAGGACUAAACUUGGAAGCGGAUAAAGAACUUUUUUGGGAACAACGUGCGCGUGCAAAUUGGAUAAAGAAUGGGGACCAAAAUACUAAAUUUUUUCAUAAGAUGGCUGUGCAACGUCACCUCCGAGGUAGAAUCAUGGGGCUGCGGGAUGAUAAUGGAAGGCCAGCAAACUCGAAUGAAGAACUUAUUCAGAUUACCUCUAACUAUUUCGGCAAAUUGUUUUCUGCAUCAGAGGUGGGCUCGGAUGACAGAGUAUUUGGGUUAGUUGGGGAAAGAGUAACGGAGAGCAUGAAUGAAGAGCUGCUAAAGGAGUUUAUUGAGGAAGAAAUCGUGCAAGCUGUGAAGUAGAUGGCGCCUUUGAAGGCACCUGGUGUUGAUGGGUUUCAUGCAAUGUUUUUUUAACGAUUCUGGCAUAUUGUUGGCUCGGAAGUUUCCCAAUUCUGUUUAGUGGUGCUGAAUGGAGAAGCUGAGUUUGGUGAAAUCAAUAAAACACGCAUCAUAUUAAUUCCUAAAGUUGAUAAAUCGAAAGACAUGUCAAAAUUCAGGCCCAUAAGUCUUUGUACUGUGAUCUAGAAAAUCAUAGCGAAAGUGCUGGUGAUUCGAAUGAGCAGCAAGUUGGGACAAUGUAUAAACGAAGCCCAAGGGGCUUUUAUUCCAGGUCGGUUAAUUUCAGGUAACGUUUUAAUUGCUUAUGAAGUCCUGCAUUCUUUAAAGAUGAAGAAACGAGGCAAAAAAGGUCAUUUUGCGCUUAAAUUGAAUAUGAGCAAGGCGUAUGAUCGUGUUGAGUGGGAUUUUCUAGUAUGGAUGAUGAAGCAUUUGGGGUUUCACAAUGAUUGGAUUGUCCUAAUUAUGCGUUGCAUUUGCUCUGUGUCAUACUCGGUUUGUCUAAAUGGCUAUCACGGCGACUGGUUUUCCCCUUAAGAGGGUUAAGACAAGGAGAUCCGCUUAGCCUUUAUCUGUUUCUGAUAUCUGCAGAGGGUUUUUCAGCUCUCAUUAAUGAUGCAAGAAACAAAAGGAGGUUAAUGGAAGCAACGAUUGGGAGGGAAAGAUUUGCGGUGAACCAUGUAUUCUUUGCGGACGAUUGUCUUUUAUUUUGAGAUGCUUCUUCUGAGGGAGCGAGAAUUGUUCGGGAGGUUAUUUGUGAGUACAAAAGGGCGUCAGGUCAACGGGUGAAUUUUGAAAAAUCGCUUAUCUAUUUUGGUGCUAAUGUGCAAGAUGGGGAGAAGGAGGCUAUCGUCAAUCAGCUCAGAGUUCGGGUGGCUUCAAAUCCAAAAAAGUGGGCUUUCGCCAAUUAUGUGGAUAGAUUCAGGAAAAGGGUUGAUGGAUGGAGUGUGCGAUAUUUGUCAAUGGGGGAAGGAGGUUUUCAUUAAGUCGGUAUUGCAGGCUACGUCAAUUUAUGUGAUGCAAUGUUUUCUUUUACCAAGGACUGUCUGUCAAUAACUUAAAGGAAUCAUGAAUAGAUUUUGGUGGACUAAUAAUAAAACGUCAAAGGGGAUUUAUUGGAGUACUUGGGAAUCGCUUUGAAGACAAAAAUGUCUAGGGGGAAUGGGGUUCAAAGAUUUGUUUUUGUUCAAUAAAGCUUUGUUAGCUAAACAGGUUUGGUGUAUUCUGACUAGUCCCAACUGCCUUUUAGCUAAAGUGUUUAAAGCACGUUAUUUUCCGUUUUCAGACAUUUUAUCAGCCAAGGUCGAUUCUUACCCUUCAUUUACCUGGAGAAGCAUUUGCAGUGCUCAUGAUGUGAUUCGAGAUGGGCUAGUGUGGAGGGUGGGGAAUGGAACCCACAUUAAUCUUUGGAAUGACCCCUGGUUACCUGGGAAGGAAAACAACAGAAUUAAAGGUCACGAUAUUGGAACUAGCUGGAUAACGGUUGAUCAACUUAUUGAGGGUAGUACCUGGAACAGAGAACUUAUCCAUAAGCUAGUUGAUAGUGAAACAGCAAACAGAAUUCUCACUAUCCCUAUUUCUGAUAGUAGACCAGAAGAUAUAAGAGUCUGGAAGUUCGAAGGCACGGGUGAAUACACGGUCAAGAGCGAUUAUCGGGCCAUUGUUACAGAAUUAUUACAAAAUAAGCCUAAUUUAUCCCCUAAAACCGAGGAGUACAGAAGGUUCUAUCAGGGACUGUGGAAACUUGAUAUUCCGGCAAAAAUUAAAAUAUAUAUGUGGAGGUUGUUUCAUAAUUUGGUGCCUCACUACGAAAAUCUGGCACGACGAACUCUGUGCGAAGAAGCAGUGUGCCCACUGUGCAAAACUGAGCUGGAAACCUCUGACCAUCUCUUGUGGGCGUGUGUUAUCUUGCAGGACAUCUGGGAUGCUUUAAAAGUGUAGAUCUCCCCUUCUGACGGUUCACUGGGGCAUAAAGAAAAAUUUGUAAGAACUUUUUCGGAAGUAGAUAACAGUCAAAAAACGUUUAUAGCUAUUUCGCUGUGGAGUCUCUGGCAUCGCAGAAACAAGUUAGUGCAUGAAGGAGUUAGUUUUUCAAAGCAGGAAGUUCUUGGUUUCAUUCGUGGCUAUGUACAAGAGUUAAGUUUACAUAAUACGAAUUCCAACGCCGUUAUUGGAUUUGCUGUGAAUGAAUGUUGGAGACCACCGGAUGAUGGUCUCAUUAAAAUUAAUUUUGAUGCAGCGUUUUCACAGGAUACGGGGUUGGCCACAAUAGCAGUUCUAGCUAGAGACUAUAAAGGAGAGGUUGUUGGAGGGGAAACUUAUCUGGUUCUAAAUGUUGCAGAUUCGUUCAUGGCGGAGGCACGGGCUUGUGAGAGGGCUUUGGUAUUUGCGCACAAAAUGGGAUUCCGGCGGUUGGAGGUGGAAGGGGACGCACUAUUUGUGAUAAAAAACAUCAGAAGUAGGGAGGCAGGGAGGCAGGGAAAUUGAUUCUCAGACCGAUCAUUUUCCAUAUACAUCAGUUAAGAAGGAAGUUAGAAGCAGUUACCUUCAAUUUCGUGCCUUAGAAAGUGAAUGAAGCGGCGCAUGCCUUGGCUAUUGAGGGCCGGAGGAAAGGGGUUGGUCAGAUCUGGACUAACGAUGUACCGGAGCUAGUUCAGAUGGUGGUAAGGAAGGAUAGGAUUGCGUGGAAUAGCAGAUUGAGGGCUCGCUGAAAGUUGGCUUUGAUUUUGGAGAAGGUUCUGUUGAAUCUCCAAGGGUUCGUCUUCAAAGCUCUGUGUUUUCUUUUGUGGGUACAAGGGCAGUUUUUCAGAGAAAACACUUUGGCUGAUUUUGGGAUGGUAAAGAGACACUGCAUGUUUAUUUAUGAUUCUUUGUCUUUUCAAGUUUUUUUUGUGUUAUGUGGGACAGCUGGAUAUUUUGUCUUUUCUGGAGACUCUUCAGCUUCUUUUGUUUAGCAGUGUGCUAUAAAAUCAGCCUAUAUUUUACUAAAAAAAAACCAAGAUAAAGGAAGGAGACAAGAAUUCUUUAGAAACUAUGUAAGUUGAUUUUUUUUAUCAUAUUUUUAUUUGUCAUUUUCUAUUUUUCAUGAUCCACUUAACUCAAGAAAAUGAC